UACGUAGGGUGCAAGCGUUAAUCGGAAUUACUGGGCGUAAAGCGUGCGCAGGCGGUUGUGCAAGACAGAUGUGAAAUCCCCGGGCUUAACCUGGGAACUGCAUUUGUGACUGCACAGCUAGAGUGCGGGAGAGGGGGAUGGAAUUCCGCGUGUAGCAGUGAAAUGCGUAGAUAUGCGGAGGAACACCGAUGGCGAAGGCAACCCCCUGGGCCUGCACUGACGCUCAUGCACGAAAGCGUGGGGAGCAAACAGG
Molecule: ribosomal RNA, 253 nt
Filed under: uncultured bacterium
Lineage: Bacteria
Description: partial 16S ribosomal RNA
Rfam family: Bacterial small subunit ribosomal RNA
Source: RNAcentral